UAGGGAAUCUUCCACAAUGGGCGAAAGCCUGAUGGAGCAACGCCGCGUGUGUGAUGAAGGGUUUCGGCUCGUAAAACACUGUUGUAAGAGAAGAAUGACAUUGAGCGUAACUGUUCAAUGUGUGACGGUAUCUUACCAGAAAGGAACGGCUAAAUACGUGCCAG
This 164-nucleotide ribosomal RNA is filed under the name uncultured bacterium. RNAcentral's name for it is "partial 16S rRNA". It matches the Rfam family "Bacterial small subunit ribosomal RNA", at positions 355 to 511 of the family's 1533-position model. The record is from RNAcentral.